AGAGUUUGAUCNUGGCUCAGGACGAACGCUGGCGGCGUGCUUAAUACAUGCAAGUCGAGCGAGGUUACUGUUUCGGAUCCCUUCGGGGUGAAGAAGCUUUAACCUAGCGGCGGACGGGUGAGUAACGCGUGGGUAACCUACCCCAAAGUCCCGGAUAACAGCGGGAAACCGCUGCUAAUACCGGAUGCCUUUACCUUGGGGCAUCUUGAGGUAAAGAAAGGUAACGCUUUGGGAUGGGCCCGCGUCCCAUUAGCUAGUUGGUGAGGUAACGGCUCACCAAGGCGACGAUGGGUAGCCGGCCUGAGAGGGUGGACGGCCACACUGGGACUGAGACACGGCCCAGACUCCUACGGGAGGCAGCAGUAGGGAAUAUUGCGCAAUGGACGGAAGUCUGACGCAGCGACGCCGCGUGAGCGAUGAAGGUCUUCGGAUCGUAAAGCUCUGUCCUUGGGGAAGAAGGCGAAAGCUUGACGGUACCCAAGAAGAAAGCCCCGGCUAACUACGUGCCAGCAGCCGCGGUAAUACGUAGGGGGCGAGCGUUGUCCGGAAUUACUGGGCGUAAAGGGUGCGUAGGCGGCCCUUUAAGUCGGAUGUGAAAGCCCGCGGCUUAACCGCGGAAUGGCAUUCGAAACUGGAGGGCUUGAGUGUCGGAGAGGGUAGUGGAAUUCCCAGUGUAGCGGUGAAAUGCGUAGAUAUUGGGAGGAACACCAGUGGCGAAGGCGACUACCUGGACGAUAACUGACGCUGAGGCACGAAAGCUAGGGGAGCAAACAGGAUUAGAUACCCUGGUAGUCCUAGCCGUAAACGAUGGGUACUAGGUGUGGGUGGUUUCGAUACCAUCCGUGCCGUAGUUAACGCAUUAAGUACCCCGCCUGGGGAGUACGUGCGCAAGCAUGAAACUCAAAGGAAUUGACGG
RNAcentral lists this ribosomal RNA (916 nucleotides) under uncultured bacterium. RNAcentral's name for it is "bacterial SSU rRNA". It matches the Rfam family "Bacterial small subunit ribosomal RNA", at positions 8 to 916 of the family's 1533-position model. The record is from RNAcentral.